Molecule: unclassified non-coding RNA, 682 nt
Filed under: Bombus terrestris (buff-tailed bumblebee)
Lineage: Eukaryota; Metazoa; Arthropoda; Insecta; Hymenoptera; Apidae
Description: misc RNA ENSBTSG00005033534.1
Source: RNAcentral
UUUGUCUUUGAAAGGGACAGUAUUGUUCGACAGUCUUUCAUAUUCGAGACGCGAUAGUGGAAACGUGCUAGCAAUCAGCAACGUUUGAGCAAUUAGUAAGAAGUGCUAGUUGCUAGAUAAAAUAUAAAAUCUGGUUAUUCGAAAGUUGACUUGCAAUUUUCCAUAAAAUGGAGUUGUUCGGGGAUGGGUCAUACGGCAACCGGAUAGAUUAUUUCACACGUGGAAAAUCCUCCCCUGAUGCACUUCGUGAUACAUAAAGGAGCUUAUUCCAGUAACACAAUUCUUCAUUAAUUCUCUUCCAUGCUGUUAUGAUCCAGUAGUAGGGUUCCAUUUCAACUUCAUUUUUGCAAAUGGAAUCAUAUUUUUUUCAAAUACAUUCAUCGAUCUAUCUUUGUAUUCCUUAUGAAAAAAUUAAAAAGAUCUGUUAGUUCACCAGAAAUCUUAACUUAAAUUCGUCAUAUGAAAGGAAGCCAGGUAAGGAUGCGAAACGGCACUCCUGUGUUUUUUCUUUUGCUUAUGUUUCAUACGACAAAUUAAAGGUAAGAUAUAAUUUAAAUUAACAGUUUUUCGACAUAAAUAGGUUAAUACUUUUUUAUAUGAUAUGAAACGUUGCUAUAUCGGUUACACCACUGUUGUUUACAAAGCACGAGUUUCGACUGAUUGGUAGAUUAAAAAAAAAAAA